CCGGAUAGCUCAGUCGGUAGAGCAGGGGAUUGAAAAUCCCCGUGUCCUUGGUUCGAUUCCGAGUCCGGGCACCA
RNAcentral lists this transfer RNA (74 nucleotides) under Escherichia coli. RNAcentral describes it as "tRNA-Phe". It matches the Rfam family "tRNA". Rfam says of the family: Transfer RNA (tRNA) molecules are approximately 80 nucleotides in length. Their secondary structure includes four short double-helical elements and three loops (D, anti-codon, and T loops). RNAcentral also lists the same sequence under 4 other names. Lineage: Bacteria; Pseudomonadati; Pseudomonadota; Gammaproteobacteria; Enterobacterales; Enterobacteriaceae. The record is from RNAcentral.